AACCUAUGGUGAGGGUACCUUCUCAGUAAGUCAUUGUACCUCUCCCAUGCAUCGUAAAGUGUUUCUAAAUCCAUCUGCACAAAAGAAGAGAUAUCAUUACAUAAUUU
RNAcentral lists this small nucleolar RNA (107 nucleotides) under Gossypium hirsutum (cotton). RNAcentral's name for it is "Plant small nucleolar RNA R71". It matches the Rfam family "Plant small nucleolar RNA R71". Rfam says of the family: R71 is a member of the C/D box family of snoRNAs containing the C (UGAUGA) and D (CUGA) box motifs. Multiple nearly identical copies of this snoRNA have been identified in Arabidopsis, and it is thought to function as a 2'-O-ribose methylation guide for 18S ribosomal RNA. Lineage: Eukaryota; Viridiplantae; Streptophyta; Magnoliopsida; Malvales; Malvaceae. The record is from Rfam by way of RNAcentral.